AAUUGUGUAAGAGGCUAUCAAUCGCUACUGUGGUCAGGACAAGUCCCUAACCUACCCAUAAAUCUUAAUAUCCAUACAAAAUCAAUAUACUGGACUCGGCUAUCCUUGGAAGAAAUGGAGGUCACCAAUCUACAAAUGAUAGUCUGAAUCUGCUAACGGGGUCUGUCAACCUAUGAAUCUGGAGCUGUGGCAUGAAUCACGGUCCCCGGUAAUACGAUGUCG
Molecule: unclassified non-coding RNA, 222 nt
Filed under: Hevea brasiliensis (rubber tree)
Lineage: Eukaryota; Viridiplantae; Streptophyta; Magnoliopsida; Malpighiales; Euphorbiaceae
Source: RNAcentral